CAACCUUGCGGCCGUACUCCCCAGGCGGUCAACUUCACGCGUUAGCUUCGUUACUGAGUCAGUGAAGACCCAACAACCAGUUGACAUCGUUUAGGGCGUGGACUACCAGGGUAUCUAAUCCUGUUUGCUCCCCACGCUUUCGUGCAUGAGCGUCAGUACAGGUCCAGGGGAUUGCCUUCGCCAUCGGUGUUCCUCCGCAUAUCUACGCAUUUCACUGCUACACGCGGAAUUCCAUCCCCCUCUACCGUACUCUAGCUAUGCAGUCACAAAUGCAGGUCCCAGGUUGAGCCCGGGGAUUUCACAUCUGUCUUACAUAACCGCCUGCGCACGCUUUACGCCCAGUAAUUCCGAUUAACGCUCGCACCCUACGUAUUACCACGGCUGCUGGCACGUAGUUAGCCGGUGCUUAUUCUUACGGUACCGUCAUUAGCCCCCUGUAUUAGAAGGGACCGUUUCGUUCCGUACAAAAGCAGUUUACAACCCGAAGGCCUUCAUCCUGCACGCGGCAUUGCUGGAUCAGGCUUGCGCCCAUUGUCCAAAAUUCCCCA
RNAcentral lists this ribosomal RNA (548 nucleotides) under uncultured bacterium. Its description in RNAcentral is "partial 16S ribosomal RNA". The record is from RNAcentral.